GACGAACGCUGGCGGCGGGCUUAACACAUGCAAGUCGAACGGAAAGGGCCUGCUUUUGUGGGGUGCUCGAGUGGCGAACGGGUGAGUAACACGUGAGUAACCUGCCCUUGACGUUGGGAUAACUUCAGGAAACUGGGGCUAAUACCGGAUAGGAGCUCCUGCAGCAUGGGGGGGGUUGGAAAGUUUCGGCGGUUGGGGAUGGACGCGCGGCUUAUCAGCUUGUUGGUGGGGUAGUGGCUUACCAAGGCUUUGACGGGUAGCCGGCCUGAGAGGGUGACCGGCCACAUUGGGACUGAGAUACGGCCCAGACUCCUACGGGAGGCAGCAGUGGGGAAUAUUGCACAAUGGGCGGAAGCCUGAUGCAGCAACGCCGCGUGCGGGAUGACGGCCUUCGGGUUGUAAACCGCUUUCGCCUGUGACGAAGCGUGAGUGACGGUAAUGGGUAAAGAAGCACCGGCUAACUACGUG
Molecule: ribosomal RNA, 468 nt
Filed under: uncultured bacterium
Lineage: Bacteria
Description: partial 16S ribosomal RNA
Rfam family: Bacterial small subunit ribosomal RNA
Source: RNAcentral